AUUAAUAAUAAUAAUAAUAAUAAUAUAACUCAUUAUCUGUAAUCGACUCUGCCCAGGAUGAGCAUGCGUCCUCUCUCUUUGCACAAGAGAGGAAGGGAGAGAAAAAUUACUAUAAAAUAAAUGAGAUUUGUUUGCUCAGUUUUAUAUAUUAUAUAACCCACCAUUGUCGGCUGUAUCACAUUUGUUGUAAAAAUGCGACUUUUAAGAUCUUUCCCUCUCCAUAUUCACACUCAACACCCAAACACCACUUCAGCGCAUUCUCUACACACUCAAUUAAUUUUGUUCAUACUAGUUAGUGGUUGUUUAUCUGCAGGAAUAUUUCUUUAGUGGGUUGGUAACUUCAAUUAAAAAAAUUAUAAAAAAUUGAGGUUGUUUUAUUAUAUUGUGAGUUGGAGUCAACUUGUGUAUUUGGUUCUUGUUUUUGUUGGGCUACAUAUCAAAAACAAUACUGACUGGUUUACUAGUUUACAAGUUAAUCAAAGCAAAUUGAAGUACGUAAUGAAAGCAUUUAUAGAAUAUGUAUGUGCUAUAGCACUGACUAUAUUUUAUAAAGAAGUGAACAAGGUUACAGAUGAAUAUUUAGUACUAGUCGCAUUUUGCUAUUCCCUACAUUGCACACUUUUAUUUAGGAUUAUUUCUCUACUUGGAUUUUGCACCCACAAUCAUUUUCUGGGAAAUAUUUGAGUAUAGGCAUUGCUAGGGGUGACAAAAGUGGCAUAAUAGCAUGUUGCUGUGGUGGCUUCAUUUUUAUAUUGAAGAAUUAUUUUUAGUUUUUAUAUAUGACGCAUGAGGAAUCCAUCAAUGAACAAUAGAUACUGAUAUUGGUGGUACAGGAGGAAGUGAAGGCAUUGAG
This 853-nucleotide unclassified non-coding RNA is filed under the name Hevea brasiliensis (rubber tree). The record is from RNAcentral. Lineage: Eukaryota; Viridiplantae; Streptophyta; Magnoliopsida; Malpighiales; Euphorbiaceae.